AGAGUCUGAUCCUGGCUCAGGAUGAACGCUAGCGGCAGGCCUAAUACAUGCAAGUCGAACGGUAAAUAUUUAGCAAUAAAUAUGAGAGUGACGUACGGGUGCGUAACACGUAUGCAACCUACCCUUUACAGGCGGAUAGCUCGGGGAAACUCGAAUUAACCCGCCGUAAUAUAAUUGGAUGGCAUCAUCUGGUUAUUAAAUCUACGGAGGUAAAGGAUGGGCAUGCGUCUGAUUAGUUAGUUGGCGGGGUAACGGCCCACCAAGACGAUGAUCAGUAGGGGAACUGAGAGGUUGAUCCCCCACACUGGCACUGAGAUACGGGCCAGACUCCUACGGGAGGCAGCAGUAGGGAAUAUUGGUCAAUGGAUGGAAGUCUGAACCAGCCAUGCCGCGUGCAGGAAGAAGGCCUUCUGGGUUGUAAACUGCUUUUGCCAGGGGAUAAAAUGACCUUGCGAGGUUAAUUGAAGGUACCUGGUGAAUAAGCCACGGCUAACUACGUGCCAGCAGCCGCGGUAAUACGUAGGUGGCAAGCGUUGUCCGGAUUUAUUGGGUUUAAAGGGUGCGUAGGCGGCUUAUUAAGUCAGUGGUGAAAUACUCUAGCUCAACUAGAGGGGUGCCAUUGAUACUGAUGAGCUUGAGUACAGAUGAGGUAGGCGGAAUUGACGGUGUAGCGGUGAAAUGCUUAGAUAUCGUCAAGAACACCUAUAGCGAAGGCAGCUUACUAGGCUGUAACUGACGCUGAGGCACGAAAGUGUGGGGAUCAAACAGGAUUAGAUACCCUGGUAGUCCACACUGUAAACGUUGAUUACUCGCUGUGUGCGAUAUACAGUACGCGGCCAAGCGAAAGCGAUAAGUAAUCCACCUGGGGAGUACGCCGGCAACGGUGAAACUCAAAGGAAUUGACGGGGGUCCGCACAAGCGGUGGAGCAUGUGUUUAAUUCGAUGAUACGCGAGGAACCUUACCUGGACUAGAAUGCCCUUGACCGAUCCAGAGAUGGAUUUUUCUGCAAGGACAAGGAGCAAGGUGCUGCAUGGCCGUCGUCAGCUCGUGCCGUGAGGUGUUGGGUUAAGUCCCGCAACGAGCGCAACCCCUAUUUUUAGUUGCCAACAGGUUAAGCUGGGGACUCUAAAAAGACUGCCCGCGCAAGCGGAGAGGAAGGAGGGGACGACGUCAGGUCAUCAUGGCCCUUACGUCCAGGGCUACACACGUGCUACAAUGGCGUAUACAGAGUGUUGCAAACCAGCGAUGGUAAGCC
This 1256-nucleotide ribosomal RNA is filed under the name metagenome. Its description in RNAcentral is "bacterial SSU rRNA". It matches the Rfam family "Bacterial small subunit ribosomal RNA", at positions 8 to 1269 of the family's 1533-position model. The record is from RNAcentral.